UGGGGAAUUUUGGACAAUGGACGCAAGUCUGAUCCAGCCAUGCCGCGUGCGGGAAGAAGGCCUUCGGGUUGUAAACCGCUUUUGUACGGAACGAAAAGACUCUGGUUAAUACCUGGGGUCCAUGACGGUACCGUAAGAAUAAGCACCGGCUAACUACGUGCCAGCAGCCGCGGUAAUACGUAGGGUGCGAGCGUUAAUCGGAAUUACUGGGCGUAAAGCGUGCGCAGGCGGUUUUGUAAGACAGAGGUGAAAUCCCCGGGCUCAACCUGGGAAUUGCCUUUGUGACUGCAAGGCUUGAGUGCGGCAGAGGGGGAUAGAAUUCCGCGUGUAGCAGUGAAAUGCGUAGAUAUGCGGAGGAACACCGAUGGCGAAGGCAAUCCCCUGGGCCUGCACUGACGCUCAUGCACGAAAGCGUGGGGAGCAAACA
Molecule: ribosomal RNA, 427 nt
Filed under: uncultured bacterium
Lineage: Bacteria
Description: bacterial SSU rRNA
Rfam family: Bacterial small subunit ribosomal RNA
Source: RNAcentral